Amphiprion ocellaris (clown anemonefish) is the source of this 261-nucleotide long non-coding RNA. The record is from Ensembl. NCBI's taxonomy places the organism in Eukaryota, Metazoa, Chordata, Actinopteri, Pomacentridae.
CGAGACCUGAGGAGGCAGGACCGAGUCUGUGGAGAAUCAGAACCAGGACAGUCAGGGAGAAUAGAGACACCUGAAGUUACACCAGGUGAGCUUUCUGUCCCGACAUGUUCCCAGGAAUGUGACAUAACCUGAGGACGAAAGGUGAAGAGCUCGGAGGUGUGGAGUGAAGUGAAUAUAGCAGUCGUGACAAACAAACAGGACAGUCAAGGGGAAAUUUUGGUCUAUGGAUUUUCAGCCUCAGUGAACUGACUUUAACUCUCC